GAACGGUUUAUUAAGAACCGAGGGGUAACAUCACGCAGUUCAUUACAAAACAGGCGAUGGAUCGAGGGAGAGUAGCCGGCGCUGGAUGUUACGGAUCGGAGGCCAUCUUCGCUUAGCCGAUGUAGUAGAUCGGGUCGGGCAGCUUGAAGGUGCGUGCCCCCUCCGGCGCACCGAGGAUGUCGCUCCACUGGUCGCCGAUGUUGCCGACGAUGACGUAGCCGGCGUCCACCAGCUUCUUCCGCUCGCCGGACUUGAAGCCGACGGCGGAGGCCUUGAAGCCGACGGGCUUGAGCAGCAGCUUCAUCCACCCGGAGUAGCCUUGGCGGCGGAGGUUGGCGACGGUGAUGGCCCUCUGGUCCUCGGUGCGGCCCGUCAGGAACACCGGCUUGAUGCCGAGCGCGAUGAGCUUGUUGUACAGCCGCUGCGUCUCCGGCAGCACCGGCGCGCUCCCCUCCAGCACGUACGCGUUGAAGCUCGUCGCGUUGUACGGCUUCGUGCUGGGUAAGCAUGCAUGGAAAAAGAAGACAAUGCAAACUCAUCACUUGUCUACUCUCUACAAAUCACACACUGGUUUUACGUUACGGUCCUUUCAUACAUGACAAACUGGUGUGUCCAGUUCUGAAACAACUUUAUUAGAAAUGGAGCACACACGAUCGUGUGAACCGUGGGCGAUCUUUUGGAUAUGACACUUGCGAAAACGAUAAGAUUUUGUAGCCAGCACGCAUUGGCAAAAGGCCAAACGGACCACGUACGCUAGUCCUAAUCGAUAUGGCACGCACAAUCUCAUCGACGACGUCUCCAUGUGGCAUCGGACACAUGCAUGCGUCCUAAGGGGGUGUUUGUUUUUUUAGUCGCUCCUAAAAUUUCUGUCACAUCGAAUGUUUAGAUACUAAUUAGGAGUAUUAAAUAUAGACUAAUUACAAAACUAAUUGCACAGAUGGAGACUAAUUGGCGAGACGAAUCUAUUAAGCCUAAUUAGUUCAUGAUUUGACAAUGUGAUGCUACAGUAAACAUGUGCUAAUGAUGGAUUAAUUAGGCUUAAUAGAUUCGUCUCGUGAAUUAGCCUCCAUCUGUGUAAUUAGUUUUAUAAUUAGCUCAUAUUUAGUCCUCCUAAUUAGCCUCCAAAUAUUCGAUGUGACAUAAAUUUUAGGAGGUCCUAAAGAUCCAAACACCCCCUAAGACUCCAAGAGAUCUGUCCCUUUCCCAUCACAGAGAAAGAGAAGGACGAUGAGAAUUAUAAAGGAGAGCCAUACGUUUUUUAAUCCUACUAUCUUGAGAUAUAGAGAAAGAUAUUAUAUUAUUAUGACAUCAGCUAGAGCUAAUAACCAGCAGAAUAUAGCGGCUCCCAAGAGCUCUCCUGCCAUAACCGCUACAACAAAAAUAUCAAGCUAUAGCGGAAUCUAACUGGCGCUUUUAAUGGCUGAAGAAGACUGCCGCUAAAUCCUAGUCCUCUAUUUAAAGCACUAAGCUAGCUCACUAUUGCUUUUCUCUAGAAUCAGUACACAUGUUCUGGUGCAUAUACGUACAAGACAAAACAUACAGAUAUGACGUGUAGUGUACGUGGCAAUGCCUUUGUUCUUGUUUGUUUUGGCUUUUCUAGACGCAUAAUUUUUUAUAUUCACCUAGGUAGAUAUUAGAUUUUCUAGACGCAUAACUUUAGAUAUUCACCUAGAUAGAUAUUAGAGCAACUUGUCAGGUGGGUACAGAUUGGUCAAACAACUUAUAAAAUGCUCAAUCUAGUACAAUAACUUGUAAAAUGGGUGCAAUUUAGUCCAACAACUUGUAAAAUGCUCAAUUUAGUAUAUUAACUUGAUAGGUGGCUGCAGAUUAGUCCAACAAUUUUAAAAAAUUCAAGUUUGAGUAUUUUACAAACUGUUGAACCAAUCUACACUCACCCGAUGUAUUUACUCUAUAUAUUAUAUCUAUAUAUAUAGCAAAAGUUAGAUACGUGAAAAAAUCAAAAUGAAUAGUAUUUUGAGCCGGCGGUACAUAUACGCAGGCACAUGAGCUGGCCGGUUAACAUGAUUAAUUAGUAUGUGCCAUGACAUGGAUUCCUAGGUGCCAUGCGUUGAAUCGCGAACAACGUUACGUACCCGAAGCCGUGGGUGGCGUAGUAGGGGAGGUUGGAGAGGGACGUCUCGUCGAUGUCGAACACCCACACCUCCUUGCCCUUGCCGCCGAGCUUGAGCCCCUCGGCGUACGCGACGGCCUCGUUGACGACAACGCGGGAGUCUCGGCGGUAGUGCCCGCCGAGCAUGUAGUGGCCGACGUAGCCCUCGCAGUCGGCCGGCACGGUCCGCCAGUCGCGCUUGUUGUACGCCUCCACCGCCAGCCGCCAGCUGUCGCACGGCACGCCGCCGCGCCGGCCGAGGUCACCGGCGGAGCCCACCAUCGGGCGCAGCGCGUGAAUCAACGGCGCCUUCUGGCUCUCAUCCGCGGCCGCCUGGACGGCCCACGCGCUGCCGGCCACGAGGACCACGAGGAGGACGAGCCUGGCCGUCGUCGCCGUCUCCAUGGCCACUCUGCUAGAGCUAGCCGAGACUGUACAGUGUGUGCUGUUUUGCUUGUGGAGACGAGCACCUGCCCCGCCGGUACGCGCGCGUGAGCUUUAAUAGAAGGUGCUUGCCUGCGCAACGGAUCUAGCGGGGCUCACAUGUCACCUGGUCAUCAGCACGCGAGUCGCUAAAUUUUUUGUUGUUUUCUAGAUUUUCUCACGCUAACUUUAUAAUUCCUUAAUUUAUGUAUAUAUAAAAAUAUUAUAAAUUGUAUGAGAACAAAAAAUCUGAAAAACAAACGUGGGGUUGUCUCGUAGUUCCAAUAUGGACAAUUGUUUCGCAAAAGAAGAUCGAUUCUUCCCUCUGCCUCCAUAUGUAAUUUUUAAAAAUAUUACUCCGUUUCAAAUUGUAAGCCGUUUUGACUUUUCUAGAUUCAUAGAUAUUUGUUGUAAGAACUAUAUAUGCACCUAGAAAAAUCAAAACGACUUACUCCCUUCGUCCCAUAAAAAAUGCAAUUCUAAUUUUUCUAUCCGUCCCAUGAAGAAUGCAAUUCUAGUUUUUCUAAGACUAAUUGAAAAGACUCCAAUGCCCUAAUUUGUUAGCCACAUGCAGUAAAUUUUGACAUGCAAAUCAGAUCUGAUCACUUAAUUAAACAGGCAGUUAGAUUUAUUUCCUAGGAUUAUUGCACUUUUUUGUGGGAUUUUUUCAAAUACUAGAAUGGUACCUUUCAUGGGAUGGAGAGUGCAAUUUGGGAGUACAUGAUAUUGCAUAAAUUUAUUUACGAGUCUGCCCAGUCACCGCAUGCAUGCAAGGCUGCUUAUUUGGCGGACCGCCCGCUGGCCGUGCUCCUCCCUCAGCACCGACGACGUGUGGCAACGUCCUGGCCUUACCAUGACAAGGACGGUUUGUCUCCUGCACUUUGGGCUCUGCCAAUGGCCUUGUAAGCUUCUUGGAGGAAAAAAAGAACUUCUAUGCGAAUCUCCUGUCAUUCAGAAUUUAUACACACACGUGAGUAGCACUUACAGUGUGUGCUACUGUGCUUACAGUUUUAGUUGUAUGUAUGCACGCGCGCCCUUGUAAAUUGUAAAUUUGUAAUGGAUAAAAAUGACUGCUUAUUUGGGGGGUUUUCCGUCUCUUGGCCGCAUUCUUUUGUAUGCGCACGAUUACAGAUUUGCCUCUUUUUGCCUUGUCGAUCUGAUCCCUCGAUAUAUGCCUCAUGCAUACGGCACUGCUACACCCGUCGUGUCAACUGCUGCUCGAAUCAGAUCCUAUACAGGCAUCCAGAGCACCACUGCUUUUUCUCUGAGCUGACCUGCAGAAAAGAAAGGGCUUCAGAUUAGGUCCUUUGAAAUUCCUAUGUUGUAGGCUGUAUGUUCCACGAAAAAGGCGCUAACCAUUAUUGCACAUGUGUGCUAAAGUACUAUAGAAAUUUCAUGGAAAAAAACCACUCUAGACAUGUCAGUUUUAAUCACAGUGUUCAUCUGUUUUUUAAUCAAAAGAAGCUGAUUUUGCUCUCGACAUGUUAUCUAGAAUACUCAAGUUCAUUCCUACUUUGAUACUCCCGUUUAGGGUGUUUUUUGGAAACCUCUUAGAUCAUACUACAUUUUUUUAGGCAAAAACUAUGGGGAAGUUCUUCACAGCACUUCAUUUCAAAAAUUAAGAAAGGCACAAGGACAGGAGAUGAGGGGGGAUUAAGUUACACUAGUGUCUCUAGCCAUUGAAUAAAAACUAUCUACAGGUGAUCAUACUACAUUAAUGAUAUUUUGCCCAAGGGAACAGACCUCGGCCUCCUGAGCCGCUCGCCCGAGCGCCUCAGGGGGCGAACCUGCCCGUACACUGCGAGCCCCCCCUCCCCCGGUGCCAUCCCCGCCUGCCGCCGUCGCUCUGGCCAUAGCUCGCGAUGGCGGCAGGCUCUCAACCCGCAGCAGUGGCCUCGGCUCGCUCCCCUCCCUCCCUUUCUCCCCGUUUUGCUAUUUCUUGCCCCAGAUCCAGAUCUUGUUGAUUCAAAUCUUGGUCGCCCUCAUCUUCGGCUUCCUUCCCCCGCCUACCUUGGUGUCUGCGCCUCUGCUCAGGCCGACGCUACCUCCUUUCCUCGCUCGUCGGAUUCGCAGGCCCCCUGUGCUGGCCUCUAGUCUGGGGCCUCCGUCGGCGGUGAUGCAUCCUGAGGUUUGGAGGUGUGGUUGGAAGGUGGCUGAGCUGCUGGGAGGGAUUCAUAGACGGCUUGUGCCUACUCCGUCGCUCCUCCGAUGGCAGAUCUGCGCAGCCUCCUCCUGGGUCGUCUGGUUCGCUGUCCCCCUGUGCUGGCUCCCUUACCGGGGCCCGUCGCUGGCGAUGCUCAAUGGGUGGGGGUUGCUGUUGGCAGGGCUCAACGGUGGUGCCCUGAGCCGUCCCUCUCCCGUGCCGCCGGCUGCAGAUCCACGCAGUGCUCCGCUGGCAGGGCUAUCCGUAUGCUGCUGGGUCUGCACUCAUCCCCGCCGCCUCCGGCUAUGUGCGUCCUGCUCACGACCUCGGUGACUCGGCAUGGUCGGUGCGGCAGCUGCAAUGCGAGGGUUCUGGGUGAUGUGCAAUGAAAGUGCCGCACUCAGUGCGCGGAGAGCGCGGUAGGUGCCAAGCACCUCUGCAUGAUCUAGGCAAGUUCCUUUCUUCAUGUUCUGGUCGGAUGCCGUCCAGCGCAAGCGUCGCGCCCGAUGUGUGGGGAGGUGCCCGGACCUCUGUAUGGCCCGACCUAGGGUGUUAUCUCUGGCAUCUUGUGCAGCUUGAUGGUUCUGCUUGUUGUUGUGUGCUUCUGAGGCCAACCGUGAAUGUUGGGUUUGCCCCGGUGAAUCGAUUGGGUGCUAAUGAUUCGAUUCAGGUGGGGCUUAGCCCUCCCGUUGCCGACACUCAUCGGCGGUCGGUGGUGGUUCCUUCAUUCGUGUGCCUAAUUUGCUUCUUCUUUGUCGAGUGAGCGUGCGUUGCGAUUGUAAUUCUUUGUGGCUCCCUUUCUUCUUCUGCCAAUUUGUAUCCUGAUCACCACCCCAGUUUGGGAGUGGCUGCGUGAUGUAAUAUCUCCUUUGAUGGAACGAAAAUGUUCAGGUGGGCUUACUUAGCCCCGCUUGAUUCCUCAAAAAUACUACAUUCAUGUAGACGUAAAACAUUUUAGUCCCAUAUAUGCAGAUGUUAUGUCACAUUUAGAUUUUAAAGCAUAUAUAUAUAGAUAGCACACACGCUAUCUACAGGUGAUUCCUUGCCACGAGAAAGGAUGCGUGUAUCAGGUUUAGCUUGUUCUCUUUUCAUGUAGUAAUGAACACUGGUCGCGGCCGGCCGGGCGCAUCUUUCUGCAGUUCGUCACGGGGCCGCAUGUCUGGGCCGGGCUGAAGUUGGCACACACGUCGAGUUCCGGAAGAUGCAUGCGGCCGAAGGGGCCAAGGCGCAUGCAAAGCACAUGUGCUGAUCAUGGCUGGGGCCGGGCUUGUUUGUACCAGCAUCCGGAAAAUGCAAAACUGUACAUGUGACCCUACGAACUUAUUGAUUUCUCUUUUCAUCCGACCGUUGAUCUAGUACCUACCCAUAAAUUUCUUACCUACUCAUAUCCAUUUCACCGUUAAUUUAAAAAUAAAUGAUUUGGAUAGCUCGUGUAGUCAUAUGUGAAAAAUCCAUAGCAGCAGCGCAGGUACUCAAUCAUGCUCUUUUGGCGUUUCCACAAAUUAUUUUAAUUCCACGAUAUGCCGUGAUACAUACUGUGGUCCUUUUGAAAAACCACGUACUGUGGUCCUGGAUGUGUCCUUUUUGUGCUCUUGUUAGUUUGAUUUUUUUAGUGAAAAAAAGGGAGCUUUCCAGAUUCCAAACCCACGAUAUAUCAGGCUCUCUCCAACGGACAUCGCCAACAUGCGUAAGUAUUUUCGGUGAACAUGGAGGGAAGAGAGAGAGAGGGAGAGGAGGGAAAAAAACAUCUACUAGAUCGUUUUCGUUUUUCUAGGUGUAUAAAUAUUAUUAUAUAUCUACAUAUAGUGUAUGUUUAGAUGCAUAAUAAUAUCUAUGAAUCUAGAAAAAUCAAAAUAACCUACAAUUUGGAACGGAGCGAGUAGCUGGCAGCAAUCUCAAAUCAUCAAUCGCACAAAAUUUGGAUAACAAAAUAGGAAAGCAUACAAGCAGUUAUUUUUUUCUCUUCACAAAUUUAAGAGGCUUGUAGCACGUGCUGUACACUAUUUGGGACGGGGAAAAUACUUUGUGGAUGGUGCACAUGCAUGAGCUUUAUUUGAACAGAGGCGGCAUACCUACAACGUAUUUGGUUUGGGAUGCCGGGUGAUCCGGAAUCAUCCGAACCUAGAACUGAAGCUAGCCGAGCCGUUUGGUUCGCAUCGCCGGAAGAGCUCAUCCGUCAUCGACUGCUUCCAUCUAGCGCUAAUCAACCAUUAGAUAUUCAGAUGGAACCAUUCUGUUUGGAGGGGAGCCGGCCCAUGCCGCACCGCAUCAACCGCUAAACCAAACACGCUAUUAAAGAUCGAGUUGAAGUCCAACUGACUGACGCAUCUACAUGGGGGACUGACGCAUGAUGAGGGUGUGAUAAAAAAUAAAAAGCAGCUCAUCACAAACAAACACUACAAACCCCUGAAUCAUGGACAGAUUAUUGAUGGAUUGACGACGUAGAGCCGUUGGAUGCUCGACCGGCCGGUGUUGUCGAGCGGGUCCUAGCUCAUUAGCCGAUGUAGUAGAGGGGGUCGGGCAGCUUGAAGGUGCGCGCCCCCUCCGGCGCGCCGAGGAUGUCGCUCCACUGGUCGCCGAUGUUGCCGACGAUGACGUAGCCGGCGUCCUGGAGCUUCCGGCGCUCGUCGGACUUGAAGCCGAUGGCGGUGCCAUUGUACCCGACGGGCUUGAGCAGGAGCUUCAUCCAGCCGGAGUAGCCCUCGCGGCGGAGGUUGGCGACGGUGAUGGCCCUCUGGUUCUCUCUGCGGCCCGUCAGGAACACCGGCGUGAUGCCGAGAGAGAUGAGCUUGUUGUACAGCCGCUGCGUCUCCGGCAGCACCGGCGCGCUUCCCGCAAACACGUACGCGUUGAAGCUCGUCGCGUCGUACGGCUUCGUGCUGUGUGGUAGCAAUAGCAUGCAUGGAAGAAGACAAGUGGAGACCAUUAGAUCAGCAAAUAAACUCAUUACUUGGAUAAUCUACAAAUCAUUCACUGCCGGUAGUUCCUCCAUUUCAAAUUAUUGAUCGUUUUAGUUUUUUUAUAAAUUCAUAGAUUAUGCUAAAAAUCUCGUACACAUGCAUAGAAAAACUAUGAAAUAAAAAAGCUAAAACAAACUGUAGUUUAGGAUGGAGGGAGUAUUUGUCGUAGGAACCGCUGUGUAUAGUUCUAAAACGACUUUAUUACAAAUGGAGGACCGGUAAAAAAUAUCUACUGUUGUAUGAUGCCCACUGGUCGUCGUCCUAUACUGACUGUCUCUCAUCGACGUGACGUCCCCAUCUGCCACUGUUGUGCUCGGUCAUGCAUGCAUGUGUCCCACAGGACCGGUCCCUUUCUUGAUAAAAAACCAACGUGUUCUUGUGCAAAUAUCAGAUUCUGGCAUUUUAUCUCCGGCUACGUAAUUCUGGCAUUCCUAGAUCCUGAGAGUAAGUACGUACAAAUACCAGCCAACGGCGCGGCGCUAUACUACGUGACAACGUACACGUGUAUGUACAAGAACAACUUAUACGUAUUUGGUUAAAAAAUAAAUUAAUCUGCUUAUCUUCAACAUCAUAUAUUUUGAGAACGGAAGGAGCACGCGGUGGUGUUGAAUCCUAAACAACGUAUGUACUACUUAUUACGUACCCAAAGCCAUUGGAGGCGUAGUAGGGGAGGUUGCUGAGGGCCGUCUCGUCGAUGUCGAACACCCACACCUCCUUGCCGUUGCCAGCGAGCUGGAGCCCCUCGGCGUACGCGACGGCCUCGUCGAUGACGACGCGGGAGUCCCUGCGGUAGUGCCCGCCGAGCAUGUAGUUGCCGACGUAGCGCUCGCACCUUGCCGGCACCGUCCUCCAGUCGCGCUUGUUGUUCGUCUCCACGGCCAGCCGCCAGCUGUCGCACGGCACGCCGCCGCGCCAGCCGAGGUCCCCGGCGGAGCCCACCAGCGGGCGCAGCGCGUGGAUCACCGGCGCCGCCACCUCCUCCUCGACGAAGCGCUCCGCGGCCGCCUGGACGGCCCGCGCCGCCGUCGGCAUCCGGAGGCCGCUCAGCUCCCACGCGCCGCCGCAGGAGGUGCUGCCGGCCACGAGGGCCACGAGAAGGACGAGCCUGGCUGUCGCCAGCGUCGUUGCCAUGGCCGCUCUCUGAGUCUGCUAAGCUAAGCCGGUACUGGACAGUGUGCUGCUUAGCUUGUUGAGAUGAGCAGCUGCCCACGUGAGCUUUAAUAGACAGUGCGUGCCUGCAUGCUGGGAUCUGGCGGGACCCGCAUGUCAGUUCAGCGCGGGGUGACGAGGGUAACGCUUGGACGUUGUCGCGAUAGGGUGAAAUUAUUGGUCCGUGGACGGUGGAGGACCAAUAAUGCAAUGCAAGGCUGGGCCUCUCCCCUCGGGACGGCGUCCAGGCCUUAGGCGGUUAGGCCUCCUCCAAUGAUAUGAGCUAUUACCUAGCUCUGGCAAGCGUGUAUGUGUCUGUCUCUCUCCAUUGCUUCGUCUUGGGAGCUGAGAGAGAGGGGCAGUACCAAACUCUUCUCUAUCUUGCCUUGCUUUGCGCAGCAAGGCUGGGCAAACCUUGCCCAGCUAGCUUAGGGGGCGUUUGUUUCUUUAGCACCUUUUAAAAUUCAUGUCACAUCGAAUGUUUAGAUACUAAUUAGGAGUAUUAAAUAUAGGCUAACUACAAAACUAAUUACACGGACAGAGACUAAUUUGCGAGACGAAUCUAUUAAGUCUAAUUAGUCCAUGAUUUGACAAUGUGAUGCUACAGCAAACAUGUGCUAAUGAUGGAUUAAUUAGGUUUAAUAGAUUCGUCUCAUGAAUUAGCCUCCAUCUGUGUAAUUAGUUUUAUAAUUAGUUCAUAUUUAAUCCUCCUAAUUAGCCUUCGAAUAUUCGAUGUGACAUAAAUUUUAGUCAGUACUAAAGAUCCAAACACCCCUAAAGCUAGCAAAGGAUCCAAGCAGACCCGCAGGGAGAAAGGAAGACCGUACUUAGCACAUUUCGUUCUGUCCAUCGCCCUUAGCACAUUUCUGUCCCAUACGUAUAUGCAUCCUUACAAUGUAUGUCAUAUUUAGAUUUUAGAGUAUACGAAUUAAACGGAACUAGCAUUUCAGUUUGUAUAGGUGUGAUUUGUUGCCACGAGAAAGGACGCCUAGCUUAGCCAUCACCGUUGGCACUUACUGUACUGGGAUACAGGAUUAUCUUGUUCUGCUUCUCCUGUUGCUUGUAGCCGGCCGGGCGCAUCUAUGUGCAGUGUGGUCGUGGGGCCGCAUUGUCUGGGACGUGAUGCGCGCCUUUUCUUUUUCGGAGCGACAUGACGCACGCUUGGGCAGUUGCCUGGGAGGCUGUGUCUGGGAGGGACGUGGUGGGGCGGCAGCUCCCAGCAGAGAAAAUAGAGGGCAGCGCAUCUGAUUCACGAGUUCCUGAAGAUGAUGCGGCGGACGGGGCACGAAGCAAAAGCGCGAAGCAUGUGUGCGUGGGGCGCCGUGCCAAUAAUGCAACGCUGGCCGGGCCGGCAUGACUUGGUUGGUUUUGUACUAGCAGCGGCAAAGUAGGCGACACUCACACAGUUAAUCAUGCUCUUUUAAUUUGGCGCUUCCAUGAUAUGCCGUGAUCCUGGUCCUGGAUGUUAGAGAGAUACUUGUAACGACUUGUAACGAGUUUAGUACUAUUGUCAUCUUAGAGAUUGACUCGGUUGCUUGGAGAUAGGAUCCUCUUGUAAUUCAAGUUAUAAGACAAACGAGUUGUAGAUGAUCACAAUAAUAAAAUUAAUUCAAUAGUACUCAUGUAAGUCUCUUGGUGAAUUUCACUCUAUAUUAACAUACAACCGUGGCCAGCCAAGAUAGGCAACCACGUUUUCUCAUAUUCUUACAUGGUAAUCAGAGCAUCCUCUUCCACAAACAUCCACAACUUCCCAAACUAACCCAUGGCGUGACCAUAUGCCCCUGCACCGGCGCUACUAGGAGUUGUCUCCGAGAAAUUAACUUGAGACAACUACCUCCUAUGGAAGGCUCAAUUCCUUCCAGCUAUAUGAGGAGCUCAACUCAUGGGGAUCCUAGAUGGAUCUACCCCUGAGCCGCCCAAGAUUCUAGAGGUGGUCAAGGCAGACAACAAGAAGGAGAUUGUCCACAACGCUGAGUACGAUGCUGGAUUGCAAAAGAUCAGCAAGUACUAAGCUACCUAUUGAAUUCUCUCACCAAGGAUGCAUUAGCAUCGGUGGCAACAGUAACCAUAGCAGCAGAAGCAUGGGGGCGCUUGAGAGGAUGUUCUCAGCGCACUCCAAGGCGCGGAUUGCAAAUUUGCGCGUUCUACUCUCCACAGCCAAGAAGGGUAAUAUGCCCUCCUCAGUUUAUUUCACCAAGAUGUGUUCUUUCAAAGAUGAGCUAGCCACGGUUGGAAAGAUUAUAGAUGAUGAUGAGAUGGUCCACUUUAUUCUGAAUGGUCUUAACUUUGACUAUAAUCCCUUUGUGUCGUCUAUGCUCGGUCGUGUUGACUUUCUCUCCUUGAGUGACUUGUAUUCUCAGUUACUCACAUAUGAUCAACGCAUGGAGAUGUUUCAAGAAGGAGGACAAUUCCUGUCAUCAAGUAAUAUGGUUGGUAGAGGACGCGGCUACUAUGGUAGUCGUGGUCGUGGCAGUAACAACAAUUGUGGUCGUGGCCGUGGCAAUGGUGGUUGCGGUGGAUCAUAUCGUGGCAGCAGCUCCGGCCCUAGCAACCCCAACACAUCCAAGCAAGGUGGACGCAAUAACAAAACAGUAUGUCAGAUCUGCAAGAAAGUAGGACAUGAAGCAAAUCGUUGCCGGUAUAGAUAUGAUGAUGAUGAAGAUCAACAAAAUCAGAACAUGGCAGGGGCGGCUACUACUGGUUACGGUUAUGACACAAACUGGUAUGUAGACAAUGGAGCGUCUGAUCAUGUUACUAGUGAACUUGAGAAGAUGACAGUUCAUGACAAGUAUAAUGGGCGAGAUCAGUACAUGCGGCCAAUGGAACAGGUAUGAAAAUUAGUAACAUUUGUCAUACAACUUUACAUACCCCUAGCAUAAAUAUUAUUCUAAAAAAUAUUCUUCAUGUUCCUAGUGCUAGUAAGAAUUUAUUUUCUGUUCACAUGCUAGCUCGACAUAAUGAUGCCUUCAUAGAAUUUCAUCCAAACUUCUUUUGUAUAAAGGAUCAGGAAAUGAAGAAAGUUAUCCAUCAAGGUAGAUCCCAAGGAGGCCUCUAUCCCUUAGGAUCUCAUCUAGCUCUAGAAGAUUCUAGAAAACAAGUUUUUGUCGUCCAAAAGCCCUUUACUACACGAUGGCAUAGCAGACUUGGGCAUCCAGAUCUUCCUAUUAUAGAAAAAAUUCUUAGUUUAAAUAAACUUUUGUGUGCUAGUGAUAAAAAUUCAGAAUCUAUUAGUAAUUCUUGUCAGAUGGCUAAGAGCCAUCAGCUUCCACACCCUAUAUCAAAUAGUUCAUCUGAAUCUCCUCUUGAUUUAAUUUUUUCUGACGUUUGGGGCCGGCUCCCUUAUCUGUUGGACAACAUAGCUACUAUGUUAGCUUCAUUAAUGAUUUCAGCAAAUAUACAUGGAUCUACCUGCUAAAGAAAAAAUCCGAUGUAUUUCUAAUCUUCCAAAAUUUCCAGCAACUCGUAGAAAGAAAAUUCAACCAAAAUACUAUGCAAUUAGAUUGGGGAGGAGAAUAUGAGAAGUUGAACUCCUUCUUUCAACAUAUAGGAAUCACACACCGUGUUUCUUUUCCUUAUGCUCAUCAACAAAACAGUGUGGCCGAAUGAAAACACCGCCAUAUAGUUGAGGUAGGGCUUGCUCUUCUCGCUAAUGCAUCCAUGCCUUUAAAAUAUUGGGAUCAUACCUUUCUUAUCACUACCUACCUCAUUAAUCUCCUUCCAAGCAAAGUCAUUAACUUUGAUGUUCCUGUUUCUCGGCUCCUUCAUGAAACUCCUGAUUAUACAUCACUACGAGUCUUUAGAUGAGCCUGUUGGCCUAAUUUGCAACCAUACAACUCACAAAAGCUUACUUUCCGCUCUACUCGUUGUGCCUUCUUAGGCUCUAGUGCUAUGCACAAGGGUUUUAAGUGUCUUGACAUCUCCACUGGAUGCAUCUACAUAUCUAGAGAUGUUGACUUUGAUGAGGAUUUUUUCCCUUUUGCCCAUCUCAAUCCUAACGCCGGUGCUCAGUUGCGUCAAGAAAUCAUUCUUUUACCCUCACAUUUGCUUAACCAUGGGGAUGUAAGUUGUCUAACUGAUGUUGCUAAUGUUCCUGGUGAGGCCAUUGAUGAUGUGCAGGUGUUUGUCCCAGAAAUUUUGGAGUCAAACCAUGGAGAAGAAGAAGUUGCAUGUGAUAAUAUUGAAGGCGCUAACGGAGUCUCGGCUGUAGAAAAUCCAAGCUGAUACACCUGCACCUGCAGCUGGUGGAUUAGGCAUGGGAUCCUGGGUGGAUUUGCUUGCGCCCGCCAAAGCCAACCCGAGUGCAACGCGUGGGGGGAAGAGGGCAGAGUGCGCGCAUCCCGCGCCUCCGCGUGUGCUUCCCAGUCGCCGACCGCGCGCGCCUCGCACCUCUUUGUCAUCCACAUGUGGCGGUUGGUCUCUGUCCAUCCCGACCGCUCCAGCAGCUCCGCUUGUGCGCACGCCUUGCAGAUCUUCUGCGCCUCCUGCUAGAUCCGGCACGCAGCUGCAGUCAUCAGUAAAUGAUGCACCUCCUCUACGGUGCACACGACUUCAACAUGGUAUUGUUCAAUCCAAAAAGUUUACAGAUGGGACUAUUUGAUAUGGAAAUUUAACCUGAGAAUUUGCUGGAAGCAUUAAACAAUUCAAGAUGGAAACAAGCUAUGCAGGAGAAGUUUACAGCAUUACUCAAGAAUAAUACCUGGCACUUAGUUGAGCCACCCAAUGGUGGCUGCAACUUAAUUGAUUGCAAAUGGGUGUACAAAGUUAAAAACAAGGCUGAUGGGACAUUUUAUAGAUACAAGGCAUGAUUGGUAGCAAAGGGGUUUCGCCAAAGGUAUGGAAUUGAUUGUGACGAUACAUUUAGUGCAGUUGUCAAGAUUGCUACUAUAAGGCUUGUCUUGUCUUUAGCAAUAUCUAGAGGUUGGUGUUUAAGACAAUUGGAUGUUCAGAAUGCGUUUCUGCACGGUGUUCUGGAAGAGGAGGUAUACGUGAAACAACCUCCGGAUUUUGAAAAAAUUGAUGCUCCACAUCUAGUAUGUAGACUGGACAAAGCAAUUUAUGGUCUGUAACAAGCCCUACAUGCUUCGUAUGCAAGAGUGAGCUCCAAACUUAUUGAUACUGGGUUAAUAGCUUCAAAAUCAAAUAAUUCUCUGUUUAUUUAUAAAAAAUCAGGAUUUGUCAUUUCUAUGCUUAUAUAUGUUGAUGAUAUCAUUGUCACUAGUUCUACUAGUGAAGCUGUUUCGGUCUUGCUAUCAGAUUUGAGGAAAGAAUUUGCUCUCAAAGAUAUUGGUGACUUGAAUUACUUCUUUGGAAUUAAGGUUCAGAGAAGUGAGGAAGGAUUGUUACUUUCUCAACAAAAGUAUGCAGAAGAGAUUCUUACACGGGUUGGUAUGGUCAAUUCUAAAGGUUCUCCAACACCAUUGUCAAUUUCGAAAAAACUCUCAAGUUUUGAAGGUGAACCGCUAGGUCCAGAAGACAGUACACGCUACAAGAGUAUUGUUGGUGCUUUGCAGUAUCUUACUCUUACAUGGCCGUAUUUAGCCUUUGCAGUUAACAAGGUAUGCCAAUUCUUGCGGCGCCGACUUCUAUUCAUUGGAUAGUUGUUAAACGAAUUCUUCAUUUUGUUCAAUAUAUGUUGGAUAUUGGGUUAAAUAUAAAGAAGUCAAGCUCCAUAACUUUGAGUGUCUUCUAUGAUGCUGAUUGGGCUGGAAGUGUUGAUGAUAGAAAAUCUACUAGAGGUUUUGCAAUAUUCUUCGGUCCCAAUCUAGUAUUUUGGAGUGCUAGAAAACAGGCUACAGUCUCAAAGUCUAAGUACUGAAGGAGAAUACAAGUCUAUGGCUAAUGCUACUGCAGAAUUGAUUUGGCUACAAUCGUUAUUAUUGGAACUUGGAGUGAAAUUAACAUAGUCACCUAUUUUAUGGUGUGACAAUUUGGGAGCCACCUAUCUUUCAGCAAAUCCGAUUUUCCAUGCUCGAGCAAAACAUAUAGAAAUUGAUUUUCACUCUGUCCGAGAGUGAGUAACCAAGAAGCUGCUACAAGUCAGAUUAAUAUCUACAUAUGAUCAUGUUGCAGAUGGAUUUACCAAAGCCUUGCCGAUUGGUAAGCUAGACAGUUUCAAAAAUAAUCUAAAUCUCAAAAGAAAGAGAAGUUUAGAUUGAGGGAGGAUGUUAGAGAUAUACUUGUAAUGACUUGUAAUGAGUUUAGUACUAUUGUGAUCUUAGAGAUUGACUCGGUUGCUUAGAGAUAGGAUCCUCUUGUAAUUCAAGUUAUAAGACAAAUGUGUCCUAGAUGAUCACAAUAGUACUCAUGUAAGUCUCUCAGUGAAUUUCACCCUAUAUUAACAUGCAACCGUGGCCAGCCAAGAUAGACAACCAUGUUUCCUCAUAUUCUUACACUGGAUGCGUCCUUUUGUUGGCCUUGUGACACUGUUAGUUUUUAUCUUACCAUGCCUGUGACCUUUUAUUACCACAUGGUAUACAUCAGAGUUACGAUCAAGCUCAAGGCACAUCGACAAACUCUCGUAGUGGUACUUCUUCAUCAAGCCACUCCUCACUGAUGACCCUUAACACUACUGAAAAACUGAGCAUUCGUCCCAAGGCUCAGUACCAGUCACAUUAGUACCGGGCCUAACAGCUAGUCCCCGAUGAGGCCCCAGUAAACCCCUUUAGUAUCAGGUGGAGACUUCACCUGGUACUAAAAGGUUGCACAUUAGUACCGGGUGAAGUCUCCACCUGGUACUAAAUGGACUUCACUGGAUUGAAGCAUAGUUAUUGGGACCGGACCGGACCGGCGGUCCGACCAAUAAAAGACCGAACCAGAGCCUCAGCCGGUUUGGUCCGCCUAAAAGAUCGGAUAAGCAAUCGAACCGGAAAAAACCGGUUGAACCGGCGGUUUUUAGCAAGAAACCGGUAUAAAACCGGACAAGAAACCGGUACAGACCGGAGAAACCGAGCGCAAGGAGAAAAAACAGCGCGCAGGGAAGAAAAUAGGAGGAAAAAUGGCGUGGCUGGGGUUCGAACCCCCACCUUUGCCUUCGGCAAUGUGGAUAAUGUGGAUAGCAACCAUCAGGCUGCAGCUGUGUUUGUGAUUUUAGUUGAUAAGUUAUCAUAUUUGAACCGUGUUGAACCGGUGGUUCAACCGGUUGAACCAAUCAAACCGCGAACCGAGAGCUCGACCGGUUCAUUGUCCGGUCCGGUCCUAAUAACUAUGGAUUGAAGUCCACCGCACGCAUCCGCUCCUCACCAUCUUAUCCGCACGCCUCCCUCUCUCUCCCGAACGGCCCUCCUCUCCCCCUCUCCCCCACGGCGGCCUUGCUUCUCUUCCUCCCAUUCUUCCAAGCAUGCCUCUCCCCUCCCCUCACAACUGCCCCUCGCCUCUCCCCUUCGUGCCCCCUCAUUGCGACGCCGGUAAGGAGCGACGGCGGGACGAGGUGAGACGACAACAUGGCAGUGGUGGAGCGCAGAGGCGGAGUGGCGGGCGACGGUGCGGGGACCUGCAGCGUGGAGAUUCGGCGGGGGCAGCGGGAUCUAAGGGGUGGCGGCACAGCAGGACGAGGUGCACAGCUUCACCUCUCUCUCUUUCUGGGCGAGGGCGGCCGAUGGCGCGAGGGGGCUAGCGAAGCGCGUCGCGAGGGCGGCUAGCCGAGCGAGGGGGCCGGCAAGGGGUUGCGGGGGAGGCGAGGUGGCGGGUCGUCUGACGAGGAGGAAGAGCGGCUGGCGGUGAUGAGGAGCGAGUCGGAAGAGCAUCUCUCUCUCUGAUGCGGGGCUCAAGUGCUGUGCGGCCGGGGCUCCGGCACUUGAGUGGAAGGCGGCGGGGUGCGGCCAGGCUCUGGUCGGCGGAUUUCUUUUUUUUUAAUUUUUUAAUACCCCUUUUAGUACCGGAUCAAGUACCGGUUAUUUGAUCCGGUACUAAAGGACCCCCUUUGCUACCGAUAUAGCAGUAUCGGUUGCACAACUAGUACUAAAGUGAGGUUUGGGACAGGUACUAAAGGUGGAUUCCCAACAGCGGUGUAACCAAGCUAUAAGGAGACAAGUUUGGCACAUUCAUGUGCUGCCUGCGGGUGAUUAAUUUUCCGUAAAUUAAAGGCUGUAUCUCUUGUCCGAAAAAUAGCUUGUCUCAUCGCCUAAGCUAGCAUUUUAGUUUCUACAGGUGCGAUUUGUGACGCUAGGGAUGAACAGUGUUUUCCACUAAUGUAGCACCUGUAACCAUAUAGUCAGUAACGUUCCUCACCUUGGAUUCAUCACUAAAUCUAUGGCAACAAGAAAAUGUUGCUAAAAACGUCAUAAUUUGAGGAACUCCAAAAGGCUGCUAAUCUUACCCUCAAUACUCUUUUUAGGGAAAAAGAAGAAAAAACGAACUCCAACAGUCCACUCAAACCUUCCCCAAUUUUUUAGCAACGCUAAAAAAUAACCUACCACCGCGUAUAUUUUAGCGUUAGCAUUCCUCCUCCAAUCCUGAUUCUCGCACGCUCGCGCGUCCCUUCCGAUGGGCCCAAUACGAUGACGUGACCUGUUUUAAAAUAUUGGGGGCUAUUUAUUAGCAAUCUGCUGUGGAUUGAUAUAUUUUGGGGAAAUUUUUUUUUGGAAGAACCUCCAAUAUAUAGUUUUGGGGAAGAAUUUUUUGGAGUACUCUCUAUAUGCCCAAUUCUUGUUCGACCCGGUCUAUUUUCCCUCAUCUUAGGUUUGGCCUUUUUAGCCCAAUUUACUUUUAGCACAGUCCAUUUUGGGCUCAAUUAUAUAUGGGCCAAGCUCGGGAAACAAUCGAUUAAAUUUUAUAUUACAUACAUAUCAUUUGCCUUGAAACUGCUCAAACUUCCACUGUUUGCCUCAUCAGAUUUCCUGGAAUUAACAAGCUUCACAUGUCUGUCAUGGAAGGAGCAAUUGAUUGGUGAUCUAGUCGUAGCCUGGCCGGAAAUAAAAUCUGCAAUUCCUGAGAUGGAAGAAGAGGGCAACAUAGUGCAUCAAGGCCCCUUUAUAUAUGGCUUUGAUUCUGCAGUAAGUAGUGCGACUCCAUGCUGCAUCAUGGAUACUGAAAAUGUGGGAGAAGACGAAUAGUAAUAUAUCAUGCUCAUGCAUAGCAGCUCGGCAUCUAACAAGACAAGCAGGAUCAUGGCAUGGGUCGAUGAGUUUUAUUUCGAGUCUCAACUCAGAACACCAACAGCAGCUACAUGGAGUUAUUAAUCGAUGAACACUGAUGAGGGUGUGAUAAAAAUAAAAGCAGUUCAUCACAGCACAAGCACAGAAGCACAUCUUGACAAAGAGCCGUUGGAUGAUCGAUCAACCGAUGGGUCGGAGGCGAGCGCGCUCUAGCUUUAUUAGCCGAUGUAGUACAUGGGGUCGGGCAGCUUGAAGGUGCGCGCCCCCUCCGGCGCGCCGAGGAUGUCGCUCCACUGGUCGCCGAUGUUGCCGACGAUGACGUACCCGGCGUCCUGGAGCUUCCGGCGCUCGCCGGACUUGAAGCCGAUGGCGGUGCCCUUGAACCCGACGGGCUUGAGCAGCAG
RNAcentral lists this long non-coding RNA (18281 nucleotides) under Setaria italica (foxtail millet). RNAcentral's name for it is "long non-coding RNA (SITA_LNC001903)". The stretch from base 11023 to 11161 matches the Rfam family "Small nucleolar RNA Z247". Lineage: Eukaryota; Viridiplantae; Streptophyta; Magnoliopsida; Poales; Poaceae. The record is from RNAcentral.